Non-coding RNA from Danio rerio (zebrafish), 439 nucleotides. The record is from Rfam. NCBI's taxonomy places the organism in Eukaryota, Metazoa, Chordata, Actinopteri, Cypriniformes, Danionidae.
AUAAUUAAAUAAAGUUUGAUCAUUCAGCUAACUGAUUAUAUGAAUGAGUGGCAGUUGAACAUGGGUGAGCCGGUCCUAAGGGACGAGCCUACGCCGUUCGGAGGGGAGGGGCCAGCUCGACCGAAAGGGAGUCGGGUCCAGAUGCCCGAGCCCGGAGCGGCAGAGACGGGCGCCGCGAGGUGCCUAGUGCGGUGAUGCAAACAAACCCGGAGAUGCCGGCGGGUGCCCUGGGAAAGAGUUCUCUUUUCUUUGUGAAGAGCAGGGCGCCCUGGAACAGGUUCGCCCCAAGAGUGGGGCCCGAGCCCUGGAAAGUGCCGCGCUUCUAACGGCGUCCGGUGAGCUCUCGUCGGCCCUUGAAAAUCUGGGGGAGAAGGUGUAAAUCUCGCGCCAGGCCGUACCCAGAUCCACAGCAGGUCUCCAAGGUGAACAGCCUCUGCCG